This 2706-nucleotide long non-coding RNA is filed under the name Homo sapiens (human). Its description in RNAcentral is "HSALNT0060843". The record is from RNAcentral. Lineage: Eukaryota; Metazoa; Chordata; Mammalia; Primates; Hominidae.
UUCUCUCUGCAGAAAGAACAGAAGGCAAGAUCUGUCAGGCAUGGCCUGCGGUGGAGCCUACCUAAGCUGGCGGCCACCCCAGCUCUGCAGGAUAGUUGGUGGAGAAGGUGACCACUGUUCAGAUGUGCCAGAGGCAGAUGUGCACAGGGGACACUGGGCCGGCCAGCCUGCUUGCAUAUGAAUCUUCACCUACAGCAGAGGGGAGAGAGGCUCUCUUAGUGAGCCAAUGCUUUCUUCUUCCACCUUUGUCUCAAUCUACUUUGUCCCAUUCUCCUUUACCUCCUCUCUUCCUCCUACAGGUUAUGAUUCUUCCCAGAUGACAAUGUGGCUGGCUGGGUCAGGAAUCCUAUCCAGGAAAGAUGCGGAGGUGACCUAAUUCUCAGAGUUAUGGAAACAGGAAACCUACCGGAAUCUGGAGCAUGAAGCAAAUUCAUAGGAAGAAUCUGAACAUUAGGAUGGAAGUUCCAGUGCUCCAGUUCCAAGAACAGAAGAAGACCCAAGUGGGGGACUUUCUUCUCUUUGUCCUUCUGCAAACCCCUGUCCCCCCUUCACCCCUUUCUCCUCCCCUGCCUUCAUCACUGCCUCUAGGUUUUCUCCCCCAAGUCUCCUCCUUCCACUGCUGCCCCCUCUCCCUUUCACUCUCAUGCUUCAGGUCUGGAAUCUCCGUUAUGCACAAAGGGCCUCAUGGGGUCUGUGUCUUUGGGGGUUAAAUCCUCCAGAGUUGGAGAUUUAUGAAAUUAGCCCCACAGUGGUUUAGGUAAGAGGAUGUUGUCCUAAAAAAAUGAAGAAGCAGCCAGGUGCGGUGGCUCACGCCUGUAAUCCCAGCACUUUGGGAGGCCAAGGCAGGUGGUUCACCUGAAGUCAGGAGUUCGAGAGCAGACUGGCCGACAUGGCAAAACCCUGUUUCUACUAAAAAUACAAAAAUUAGCCAGGCAUGGUGGUGGACGCCUGCAAUCCUAGCUCAGGAAGCUGAGGCAGGAGAAUAGCUUGAAUCCAGAAGGCAGAGGUUGCAGUGACUUCAGAUAGCUCCAUUGCACUCCAGCCUAGGUGACAGGUGAGACUCUGUUUAAAAAAAAAAAAAGAAGAAGAAGAAGCCCUGCCUCUCCAAACUGCACACAUUCCUUGAGCCCCUGGCCUUCCUCUGUGGCCCUUUGCUUCUUUCUGGUGCCCCUGCCAGCCCAGGGCUAAGAGGAUUCCUGUGAAUGGUGAGGUUACACAAUGGGCAGGGAGCUCUGAACAAUGCUCCCACUUCCUCCCCUUUUUCUAGGGUGUGUAACUGCCCAGCGCCUUCACAAUUUCCAGUCCUGCAUGGAAGACGUGUCUGGAUAUUGGUGAAUACAUAGAUGAACUACUGCAGGAGCGCACACUUGAGUAUAUUUUUGUGUGGGUAGCCAUCAGACUGGGAAAGAAUGGGGUGGGGAUCUAAGAAUGGGCACAUUCUGGCCGGUGAAUAAAGGAAGACCAUUUUGAAAUAUCAAUGUAACCCCAGACACCUGCCUUUUCUGCAAAGCUACCUUAUACUGAGUGAAUACUGAUUUGGUGGAUGUGCCAUUGCUGCCUGGAAAGAUCCUCUGCUCUUGGCAAGAGGCAGCAGGGAAUGUGAAGAGGCCCCUGAGUUUGCAGGGAAGGGCCUAGGGCAGGGUUUGUGCCUGCUGGGGCAGGGCCAGUGUGAUGGAAGAGUGCCCCCUAGUGAGUCACAUCUCCAGUUGCUGGGGUCAGCUCAGCCCAGGGCUCCCCAGGUGGGUCUUGGGUCUGAGGUUGGGGGUGAGGGGAGGGGGAGGGGAAGAGAUGUUUGGGACAGGAUUUCAUCCUGGGACAGGUGUCUCUCAGACCUCUCCAAGAAUGGACUCAUGGCUCCAGUUGUGUUUCUGCACUUUCCUCCCAUUUCAGCCUCUGCUGGGCUUUCACGUGGUCUUUAAAGAGAUACCAUCUUUAACAUAAACAGCCUUAUAUCAUUGGCGUGGGAAAACACCUUGCAUUCACUCACCCAUUCACCCUUCCACAUAUCUAUUCUGUCAUGUAUUUCAUACCUUCAAUCAACAAACAUUCCCUGCGCACCUGCUCUGAGUCAGCCCCUAUGAGUCAAAGGGGGCUUCCAUUCUUGCAGGGCUCUCAGGCCACUUGGUGCAGGGGAAAAAGAAGCAAGUACACUACAAAGUGGAGAGUUACACCUUGAAGGAAGGGAGCAUGGGCACAGGGAGGCAGUCAUGACGGGCUUCCUGGAAGAGACAUUUCUCAAGCUGAGUGCUGAAGGCCAAGUUGAACAGUGAGAUGUCUUCCCCAGGCUGGCAUCUGGAGAACCUGCACUAGAAGCACAGACCCCCUGGUUUACUAAAACAGUGGCAGGAACUGUUGAACCAUUCUUGGGUGGCCAUUGAUCUGCAGCCAUCCAUAUGUCCCUCCCUAGGAGUAAUCCUGGAGGGAAGGAGGACUACAAAGGCACAUGGAAACUUGAGUGGAGGGUGCUGGAUAUAUUUACUCUCUUGACUGUGGUGUACUUAUGAUGAAACUUAUCAAACUGUGCAUUUUAAAUAGGUGGGUUUACUAUAUAUUAAGUAUACCUCAAAAGAAAAAGGGGAAAAAAAGUCAAAUAGUUCUACAAUGUAAGAAAGCAGUCCCCUGUUUUACUCUUUCCCCCACCAAAUUCCAUUCCAAAGAGACAAUCACUUUAAACAUCUUUUAAAUUUUAUUUUUAUUACUUUUUUU